Molecule: long non-coding RNA, 723 nt
Filed under: Citrus x clementina
Lineage: Eukaryota; Viridiplantae; Streptophyta; Magnoliopsida; Sapindales; Rutaceae
Description: Citrus clementina (C. clementina) long non-coding RNA (CCLE_LNC006353)
Source: RNAcentral
GUGGUGCCAAAACCCCCCAGCGGAAAAAUGGCCAAAAAACGGGUGGCUAAUAGCCUUGGUGGGGGGGGCGGGCGAAGUUCGUCCGCCGGACUCGGAAUGGGGCGAGACUUUGCGAGGGGCCUCGGGGUGCCAAAAAUAAGCUGCGGGCAAAGCCGCGCCCAAAAAUAAGCGCCCGAAGGUCGUGGUGCCAAAACUCCCCAGCGGAAAAAUGGCCAAAAAACGGGUGGGCUAUAGCCUUGGUGGGGGGCGCGGGCGAAGUUCGUCCGCCGGACUCAGAAUGGGGCGAGACUUUGCGAGGGGCCUCGGGGUACCAAAAAUAAGCCGCGGGCAAAGCCGCGCCCAAAAAUAAGCGCCCGAAGGUCGUGGUGCCAAAACCCCCCAGCGGAAAAUUGGCCAAAAAACGGGUGGGCUAUAGCCUUGGUGGGGGGCGCGGGCGAAGUUAGUCCGCCGGACUCGGAAUGGGGCGAGACUUUGCGAGGGCCCUCUGGGGUGCCAAAAAUAAGCCGCGGGCAAAGCCGCGACCAAAAAUAAGCGCCCGAAGGUCGUGGUGCCAAAACCCCCCACCGGAAAAAUGGCCAAAAAACGGGUGGGCUAUAGCCUUGGUGGGGGGCGGGGGCGGGCGAAGUUCGUCCGCCGGACUCGGAAUGGGGCGAGACUUUGCGAGGGGCCUCGGGGUGCCAAAAAUAAGCCGCGGGCAAAAACGCGCCCAAAAAUCAGCGCCCG